CCUACGGGCGGCAGCAGUGAGGAAUAUUGGUCAAUGGGCGAGAGCCUGAACCAGCCAAGUCGCGUGAGGGAGUACUGCCCUAUGGGUUGUAAACCUCUUUUGUCGGGGAGCAAAAGCCGGACGUGUCCGGCUGUGAGAGUACCCGAAUAAAAAGCAUCGGCUAACUCCGUGCCAGCAGCCGCGGUAAUACGGAGGAUGCGAGCGUUAUCCGGAUUUAUUGGGUUUAAAGGGUGCGCAGGCGGAUUUUUAAGUCAGCGGUAAAAUCGUGGGGCUCAACCCCUCCCAGCCGUUGAAACUGGGGAUCUAGAGUGUGCGAGAGGUAUGCGGAAUGCGUGGUGUAGCGGUGAAAUGCAUAGAUAUCACGCAGAACCCCGAUUGCGAAGGCAGCAUACCGGUGCACAACUGACGCUCAGGCACGAAAGCGUGGGUAUCGAACAGGAUUAGAUACCCGAGUAGUC
RNAcentral lists this ribosomal RNA (458 nucleotides) under uncultured bacterium. RNAcentral describes it as "partial 16S ribosomal RNA". It matches the Rfam family "Bacterial small subunit ribosomal RNA", at positions 338 to 795 of the family's 1533-position model. The record is from RNAcentral.